RNAcentral lists this ribosomal RNA (207 nucleotides) under uncultured Lactobacillales bacterium. RNAcentral's name for it is "partial 16S ribosomal RNA". It matches the Rfam family "Bacterial small subunit ribosomal RNA", at positions 568 to 774 of the family's 1533-position model. Lineage: Bacteria; Bacillati; Bacillota; Bacilli; Lactobacillales. The record is from RNAcentral.
AGCGCAGGUGGUUUCUUAAGUCUGAUGUGAAAGCCCACGGCUCAACCGUGGAAGGUCAUUGGAAACUGGGGAACUUGAAUGCAGAAGAGGAGAGUGGAAUUCCAUGUGUAGCGGUGAAAUGCGUAGAUAUAUGGAGGAACACCAGUGGCGAAAGCGACUCUCUGGUCUGUUAUUGACACUGAGGCUCGAAAGCGUGGGGAGCAAACA